Molecule: ribosomal RNA, 253 nt
Filed under: uncultured bacterium
Lineage: Bacteria
Description: partial 16S ribosomal RNA
Rfam family: Bacterial small subunit ribosomal RNA
Source: RNAcentral
UACGGGGGGGGCAAGCGUUGUUCGGAAUUACUGGGCGUAAAGGGUUCGUAGGUGGCCAACUCAGUCAGACGUGAAAUCCCUCAGCUCAACUGGGGAACUGCGUCUGAUACUAGAUGGCUUGAGUGCAGGAGAGGAACGCGGAAUUCCAGGUGUAGCGGUGAAAUGCGUAGAUAUCUGGAGGAACACCGGUGGCGAAGGCGGCGUUCUGGACUGCAACUGACCCUGAGGAACGAAAGCCCGGGGAGCAAACGGG